GGUUGGAAGGCACCUCAAAAUUUAAUCCAUGUUGAGGAUUUUUUGGUAACCUUUUUCAUACAAGUGGUGAUUAUGGUAAUUCAUUUGGAUUAAAUGCAACCUAAAAAGGAUAUGAUGAGAAUUUGAGGUUUGGUUGCCAAGAUGAACUUUAGUGGUUACAUGAUGUCAUAGGAUCCAUCUCUGACUUUGAGGAACAGGUUUCAGUUCUUUGGGGAUUAACAAGAAUAAUCACUUGGCUUGGUUGGAAAAUGUGACAGCAUCUGUCAUAUACGUAUCUGAAUCUGUAGCCAUGGGAUGCCCUCCUUUGCUCUUAUUUCAGUGAUACAUUAUUAUAGUAUUACCAAGUCUAUAGAACUGAUGCUAUGUAUAUGUGCAC
This 376-nucleotide unclassified non-coding RNA is filed under the name Hevea brasiliensis (rubber tree). The record is from RNAcentral. Lineage: Eukaryota; Viridiplantae; Streptophyta; Magnoliopsida; Malpighiales; Euphorbiaceae.